This 76-nucleotide transfer RNA is filed under the name Acidiferrobacteraceae bacterium. RNAcentral describes it as "tRNA-Thr". It matches the Rfam family "tRNA". From Rfam's summary of the family: Transfer RNA (tRNA) molecules are approximately 80 nucleotides in length. Their secondary structure includes four short double-helical elements and three loops (D, anti-codon, and T loops). Lineage: Bacteria; Pseudomonadati; Pseudomonadota; Gammaproteobacteria; Acidiferrobacterales; Acidiferrobacteraceae. The record is from RNAcentral.
GCCGGUGUAGCUCAGUUGGCAGAGCAAUUCAUUCGUAAUGAAUAGGCCAGAGGUUCGAAUCCUCUCACCGGCACCA